CCUACGGGCGGCUGCAGUGGGGAAUAUUGCACAAUGGGGGAAACCCUGAUGCAGCGACGCCGCGUGAGUGAAGAAGUAAUUCUUUAUGUAAAGCUCUAUCAGCAGGGAAGAAAAUGACGGUACCUGAGUACGAAGCCCCGUCUAACUACGUGCCAGCAGCCGCGGUAAUACGUAGGGGGCAAGCGUUAUCCGGAUUUACUGGGUGUAAAGGGAGCGUAGACGGCAGUGCAAGUCUGGAGUGAAAGGCGGGGGCUCAACCCCCGGACUGCUCUGGAAACUGUACGGCUGGAGUGCAGGAGAGGUAAGUGGAAUGCCUAGUGUAGCGGUGAAAUGCGUAGAUAUUAGGAGGAACACCAGUGGCGAAGGCGGCUUACUGGACUGUAACUGACGUUGAGGCUCGAAAGCGUGGGGAGCAAACAGGAUUAGAUACCCCUGUAGUC
RNAcentral lists this ribosomal RNA (440 nucleotides) under uncultured bacterium. RNAcentral describes it as "partial 16S ribosomal RNA". It matches the Rfam family "Bacterial small subunit ribosomal RNA", at positions 338 to 795 of the family's 1533-position model. The record is from RNAcentral.